GUUAACUGCCAGUUUCUCUCUUCAAGUGUACUGGUGGUCCGAAUGUUACUUGUGUCAAAAAAUAUCCAAUGGUACUUGCCUAUACAAGAGCAAUGAAAAGUUCCCGUNNNNNNAAAACUAAUUCCAAUACCCUCGGAAACAAGCCAGCCAAAAAGACAAGGAGGACCGAAAAGGAAGCUAGAAAUAGGUCUCACAUGCCUUGCUGCCGAC
RNAcentral lists this unclassified non-coding RNA (210 nucleotides) under Hevea brasiliensis (rubber tree). The record is from RNAcentral. Lineage: Eukaryota; Viridiplantae; Streptophyta; Magnoliopsida; Malpighiales; Euphorbiaceae.